UACGUAGGUGGCAAGCGUUUUCCGGAUUUACUGGGCGUAAAGGGAGCGUAGGCGGAUACUUAAGUGGGAUGUGAAAUACCCGGGCUCAACCUGGGUGCUGCAUUCCAAACUGGGUGUCUAGAGUGCAGGAGAGGAAAGUGGAAUUCCUAGUGUAGCGGUGAAAUGCGUAGAGAUUAGGAAGAACACCAGUGGCGAAGGCGACUUUCUGGACUGUAACUGACGCUGAGGCUCGAAAGCGUGGGGAGCAAACAGG
RNAcentral lists this ribosomal RNA (253 nucleotides) under uncultured bacterium. RNAcentral's name for it is "partial 16S ribosomal RNA". It matches the Rfam family "Bacterial small subunit ribosomal RNA", at positions 524 to 776 of the family's 1533-position model. The record is from RNAcentral.